CAAUAGCGUAUAUUAAAGUUGUUGCAGUUAAAAAGCUCGUAGUUGGAUUUCUGGUGGGGGUCGCUGGUCCGCUGCGAAAGCGGCGUGUACCGAUGCGUACCUACCGCCAUCCUCGGGGGAACUGCGUGUGGGAUUAGUUUCUCGUGCGUAUGGACGCCCGUCAUUUACUGUGAAAAAAUUAGAGUGUUCAAAGCAGGCUUAGGCCGUUGAAUACAUUAGCAUGGAAUAAUAAGAUAGGACCUUGGCGGUCUAUUUUGUUGGUUUGCACGCCAAGGUAAUGAUUAAUAGGGAUAGUUGGGGGUAUUCGUAUUCAAUUGUCAGAGGUGAAAUUCUUAGAUUUAUGGAAGACGAACUACUGCGAAAGCAUUUACCAAGGAUGUUUUCAUUAA
RNAcentral lists this ribosomal RNA (389 nucleotides) under uncultured eukaryote. Its description in RNAcentral is "partial 18S ribosomal RNA". It matches the Rfam family "Eukaryotic small subunit ribosomal RNA", at positions 592 to 976 of the family's 1831-position model. The record is from RNAcentral.